Molecule: long non-coding RNA, 206 nt
Organism: Xiphias gladius (swordfish)
Lineage: Eukaryota; Metazoa; Chordata; Actinopteri; Istiophoriformes; Xiphiidae
Exons: 3
Source: RefSeq, a predicted model, not a curated record
AGGAUUGGUCCUACACAGAGCAUUACCUGGGCUGUGUGACAGUGUUCUGUCCAAGCUGAGUGGUGGCGCCAUAUCCAGCUCUCUCAAUACAUCAAUGCUACAACCCCAUACACACCACUUGAGCCCUGCCAAACUACGGCUGCUGAGGCCUCUGUCCUGGCAGCCUUGGAAAAUGUCAGGCCGUGGACUGGCAGAGGAUGAAGGAC